UUUCAAGGAAUUAUGAACCUGCACUCCAAGGUCUCUUUAUUCUGCAACACUCCCCUUAACUGUGUCAGUCCUGCCUGGAUUGCUUGACCAAAAUGCAACACCUCACAUUU
Molecule: non-coding RNA, 110 nt
Organism: Chiloscyllium plagiosum (whitespotted bambooshark)
Lineage: Eukaryota; Metazoa; Chordata; Chondrichthyes; Orectolobiformes; Hemiscylliidae
Source: RefSeq, a predicted model, not a curated record